RNAcentral lists this long non-coding RNA (228 nucleotides) under Ricinus communis (castor bean). RNAcentral describes it as "long non-coding RNA (RCOM_LNC001338)". Lineage: Eukaryota; Viridiplantae; Streptophyta; Magnoliopsida; Malpighiales; Euphorbiaceae. The record is from RNAcentral.
UUCUCUCUCCACCGCGAACUUCCAAUUCCGGCCACCAUUGGUGUUGCCUUUGCCACCAAAAUGAAGCCCAAGCCGCAGGGAGUCAAUCGCCACCCGACUCAGCCGCCAACUCCGGCGGAAACGCCAUGAACGGUGUCGACAACUACCUUUUCUUCCUUGCGUUUUUCGCCGCUCCUCGCAUCCGUAGCUGCUGCUGCCACAGCUGCUGCACUUGCCGACGCCAGCAGC